This 229-nucleotide ribosomal RNA is filed under the name uncultured bacterium. RNAcentral's name for it is "partial 16S ribosomal RNA". It matches the Rfam family "Bacterial small subunit ribosomal RNA", at positions 568 to 796 of the family's 1533-position model. The record is from RNAcentral.
CGUGUAGGCGGCUUGGUAAGUCAUAGGUGAAAGCCCUCGGCUCAACCGAGGAACUGCCUGUGAAACUGUCGUGCUUGAGUCCGGGAGGGGGGAGCGGAAUUCCCAGUGUAGCGGUGAAAUGCGUAGAUACUGGGAGGAACACCGGUGGCGAAGGCGGCUCCCUGGACCGGUACUGACACUGAGGUGCGAAAGCGUGGGUAGCAAACAGGAUUAGAUACCCUGGUAGUCC